CUCAAUCUGUCAAACUCUCUCUCGCCUUUUUCUUCUCUAAUCACCCCCACUUUCUUUCUUCACCCUGUUUCUUCACUGUGUAUAUAUAAUCUAUUAUCUCCUUCCCUUUACCCAUUUUAUUUUUCUUUCUCAUAUUCUAUUUUUUAUCCCCUCUAACGAUUCUCACUUUCUCUGUUAGUGGGUGUGUGAGUAUAUAUGUUCUAAAAUAGAAAUGGAGGAGCAUGCGGGGUGUAUUCUAUGUGUGUUAUUUUGUGAGUGUGUAAAUUUUUAUUUGCUCUUGUAUGUAAUGCAUAACUAUGUGAGUGUUGGUGUGUAUGUGUAUAUAGAGUAUGUACAGUGAGUGAAUGAGAGAGGCCCCAAAAAGUGUGAUUACAAUGGUAGGAUAUGUGAGAUUUAGGGUGGGGUGGGGUGAUGGUGAGGUGUUCAAAUUAUUGUGGAUUUGCUAUUUUUGGAUAAGGAUAGAAAAAUGUAUGGUCGGGUUGUUAUUUUUUGAUUUUAUUAUGGUGGUGGUAGUGGUGGGAGUGGGGGGGGGGGAGGGUGGGGAUGGGUAUUAAACUAGAUGGGGUGCAUGGUAAGGUGAGGGAAUUACCUAUGUGAAUAGGCCAAUCUUUUUGUAUGUUUGACAUACUUUUUAUUCUCAAAAACUUAUGUACGUCACAUAAAAAUUAUAUAUGUAUGUGAACUAACAAGAAGAAAAAUUAGGCAGAAAUACACAUUAAAUUUAAUAAUGUGAAUAUACAUGAACAUGAUAAGGAAAAAUAAAAUAUGAAUACAUCAAUAUCUACAUAAACUCAAGCAUCACAUACUAUGGAUUUUUAAGGGAUUUGUUAUUAGUUGAUGCAUAGAUAUGUAUUUCACAUUUCCUUUUUUUUCACAACCCCGUCUCUUACGAAAUUAUACUUCAUGUUGACAUAUUUUGUCUUCCCAUGAUACUUAUAUCCUCGAUGUAGUCUAUUGCAAUAUGACUAUCACAGGUUCAACAACAUUAUUAUACACACCCAAGUGGAUCAGAAAAUAUUUAAGCCAAACAACUUCUUGCACAAUAGAUGAAAGUGUUAAAAAUUCAACUUUCAUCGUAGAUAAGGCUAUACAUGACUGUUACUUGAU
RNAcentral lists this long non-coding RNA (1107 nucleotides) under Capsicum annuum. Its description in RNAcentral is "long non-coding RNA (CANN_LNC006503)". The record is from RNAcentral. Lineage: Eukaryota; Viridiplantae; Streptophyta; Magnoliopsida; Solanales; Solanaceae.